GUCACGCCAGUGGCAUUGCCGGGUAGCUACGUUCGGAAGCGAUAACCGCUGAAAGCAUCUAAGCGGGAAGCGCGCCUCAAGAUGAGAUCUCCCGGGGCACAAGCCCCCUAAAGGAACCAUCAAGACUAGGUGGUUGAUAGGCAGGGUGUGUAAGCACAGUAAUGUGUUGAGCUUACCUGUACUAAUGAUCCGUGUGGCUUGACCAU
This 206-nucleotide ribosomal RNA is filed under the name Pseudomonadota bacterium. RNAcentral's name for it is "partial 23S ribosomal RNA". It matches the Rfam family "Bacterial large subunit ribosomal RNA", at positions 2723 to 2925 of the family's 2925-position model. Lineage: Bacteria; Pseudomonadati; Pseudomonadota. The record is from RNAcentral.